GUGGAUUAGAUACCCUGGUAGUCCACGCUGUAAACGAUGAAUACUAGGUGUGGGGGGACUGACCCCUUCCGUGCCGCAGUUAACACAAUAAGUAUUCCACCUGGGGAGUACGGCCGCAAGGUUGAAACUCAAAGGAAUUGACGGGGGCCCGCACAAGCAGUGGAUUAUGUGGUUUAAUUCGAAGCAACGCGAAGAACCUUACCAGGGCUUGACAUCCAACUAACGAAGUAGAGAUACAUUAGGUGCCCUUCGGGGAAAGUUGAGACAGGUGGUGCAUGGCCGUCGACAACU
This 291-nucleotide ribosomal RNA is filed under the name uncultured bacterium. RNAcentral describes it as "partial 16S ribosomal RNA". It matches the Rfam family "Bacterial small subunit ribosomal RNA", at positions 773 to 1060 of the family's 1533-position model. The record is from RNAcentral.